UACGUAGGGGGCUAGCGUUACCCGGAAUUACUGGGCGUAAAGGGUGCGUAGGUGGUUUCUUAAGUCAGAGGUGAAAGGCUACGGCUCAACCGUAGUAAGCCUUUGAAACUGGGAAACUUGAGUGCAGGAGAGGAGAGUGGAAUUCCUAGUGUAGCGGUGAAAUGCGUAGAUAUUAGGAGGAACACCAGUUGCGAAGGCGGCUCUCUGGACUGUAACUGACACUGAGGCACGAAAGCGUGGGGAGCAAACAGG
Molecule: ribosomal RNA, 252 nt
Filed under: uncultured bacterium
Lineage: Bacteria
Description: partial 16S ribosomal RNA
Rfam family: Bacterial small subunit ribosomal RNA
Source: RNAcentral